CCAAAGGCUCUUUUAAGAGCCCCCCAAAAUUUCUUACAAAGAGCUGU
This is a non-coding RNA of Anas platyrhynchos (mallard), 47 nucleotides long. NCBI's taxonomy places the organism in Eukaryota, Metazoa, Chordata, Aves, Anseriformes, Anatidae. The record is from Rfam.